CUUGGUCAUUUAGAGGAAGUAAAAGUCGUAACAAGGUCUCCGUUGGUGAACCAGCGGAGGGAUCAUUACAGAAUCACUGUUACCGCGUGAACCCUUUGUGAACCUUACCGUCGUUGCCUCGGCGGCGAGCCUCGUGUCGAAAUCCGAAGGGUGCUACCCUGGAGCCACUUACCCUGUAGGUGGCUACCCCGGAGCUACGUCGUAGUGGACAUCGGCCCCGUCGAAGGACCCGUUAAGAAAUUCUUUGCAUCACGUCUGAACAAUAUUAAAAAAAAAUCGUUAAAACUUUCAGCAACGGAUCUCUUGGUUCUGGCAUCGAUGAAGAACGCAGCGAAAUGCGAUAAGUAAUGUGAAUUGCAGAAUUCAGUGAAUCAUCGAAUCUUUGAACGCAUAUUGCGCCCAUUAGUAUUCUAGUGGGCAUGCCUAUUCGAGCGUCAUUUUCAACCCCUUAAGCCCCUGUUGCUUAGCGUUAGGAAUCUGCGUCGCGGCGCAGUUCCCCAAAGGUAGUGGCAGUGUAGGGCACACUCGUAGCGUAGUAGAUUUAUCUCGCUUCCGACGUGUGGUCCCCGAACGACUCGCCGUAAAAUUCCCCCUUUUUAAUAGUGGUUGACCUCGGAUUAGGUAGGAAUACCCGCUGAACUUAAGCAUAUCAAUAAGCGGAGGA
This 664-nucleotide ribosomal RNA is filed under the name Hypoxylon munkii. RNAcentral describes it as "eukaryotic LSU rRNA". The stretch from base 284 to 437 matches the Rfam family "5.8S ribosomal RNA". The record is from RNAcentral. Lineage: Eukaryota; Fungi; Ascomycota; Sordariomycetes; Xylariales; Hypoxylaceae.